UAAUUGAAAUAUAAACUCACCUGCUCAUAAUAGAGGGGUAUUUAGGAAUGAGGUGCAAGUCCUCAGCUGUUCCCGCAACUGUAAGCCACAUUAGUGAUAAGCCAGAUACUAAAUACGUUACAAUCAACUUA
RNAcentral lists this non-coding RNA (131 nucleotides) under Pseudoalteromonas sp. The record is from RNAcentral. Lineage: Bacteria; Pseudomonadati; Pseudomonadota; Gammaproteobacteria; Alteromonadales; Pseudoalteromonadaceae.